This 427-nucleotide ribosomal RNA is filed under the name uncultured bacterium. RNAcentral describes it as "bacterial SSU rRNA". It matches the Rfam family "Bacterial small subunit ribosomal RNA", at positions 355 to 775 of the family's 1533-position model. The record is from RNAcentral.
UGGGGAAUUUUGCGCAAUGGGCGAAAGCCUGACGCAGCAACGCCGCGUGUGUGAUGAAGGUCUUUGGAUUGUAAAGCACUUUCGACCGGGACGAAAACCCCUGGGCUAAUACUCCAGGGCUUGACGGUACCGGGAGAAGAAGCACCGGCUAACUCUGUGCCAGCAGCCGCGGUAAUACAGAGGGUGCAAGCGUUGUUCGGAAUUAUUGGGCGUAAAGCGCGUGUAGGCGGCUUUGCAAGUCGGAUGUGAAAGCCCUCGGCUCAACCGAGGAAGUGCGUUCGAAACUGCAGAGCUUGAGUGCCGGAGAGGGUGGCGGAAUUCCCCAAGUAGAGGUGAAAUUCGUAGAUAUGGGGAGGAACACCGGUGGCGAAGGCGGCCACCUGGACGGUCACUGACGCUGAGACGCGAAAGCGUGGGUAGCAAACAG